This 559-nucleotide ribosomal RNA is filed under the name uncultured bacterium. RNAcentral's name for it is "partial 16S ribosomal RNA". It matches the Rfam family "Bacterial small subunit ribosomal RNA", at positions 355 to 906 of the family's 1533-position model. The record is from RNAcentral.
UGGGGAAUUUUGGACAAUUGGGCGAAAGCCUGAUCCAGCAAUGCCGCGUGUGUGAAGAAGGCCUUCGGGUUGUAAAGCACUUUUGUCCGGAAAGAAAUCCUUGGCUCUAAUACAGUCGGGGGAUGACGGUACCGGAAGAAUAAGCACCGGCUAACUACGUGCCAGCAGCCGCAGUAAUACGUAGGGUGCAAGCGUUAAUCGGAAUUACUGGGCGUAAAGCGUGCGCAGGCGGUUUGCUAAGACCGAUGUGAAAUCCCCGGGCUCAACCUGGGAACUGCAUUGGUGACUGGCAGGCUAGAGUAUGGCAGAGGGGGGUAGAAUUCCACGUGUAGCAGUGAAAUGCGUAGAGAUGUGGAGGAAUACCGAUGGCGAAGGCAGCCCCCUGGGCCAAUACUGACGCUCAUGCACGAAAGCGUGGGGAGCAAACAGGAUUAGAUACCCUGGUAGUCCACGCCCUAAACGAUGUCAACUAGUUGUUGGGGAUUCAUUUCCUUAGUAACGUAGCUAACGCGUGAAGUUGACCGCCUGGGGAGUACGGUCGCAAGAUUAAAACUCAAAU